CAAGUUCAAUCCCUGGUACCAAAAAAAUAAAUUCUCUUGCUUCCUAUUCCUAAUUUCUAGAAUUGUAGUUUUAUGACUUAAAGUCCAUCCAUGUUGGGCUGCCAUUCCACCGCUCCCAGCCCAGAGGAAGGGGCUUCCAGGCCACCAUGUUGCUACUUUGACUUCUAAUGUUCUUCUACCACAUUUUACCUAUCCUCUCCUACACUGAUGAAACAGAAUGCUUCUCUUUAUUGUCACUGAUGAAGCUUGAAAGCAUAUUCUACUACAUGUUGGUCCUGCGAAGAAUUUCUUUGCUAUACACACAGAAUGCUGGAUCAUGACAAAUAGCUAAUUCAGCUAGCUUACAUAAAAUUGGGCAUAUGACUACAAUGUCUGAGAUCCCAGCAAGAGUCCUAACAUCUAACAACUCCAUCACCAGAAGAGGCCUCAUAAAAUUAAUCCCCACAAGCACAUCUAAAGAAAUUCCAUAGGGAUUAGAAGACUCAGAAACAACUCCAGACACACUCAGCUACCUCAUCUUCGACAAAGGAGCCAAACACCCUCACUGGAGGAAAGACAGCCUCUUUAAUAAAUGGUGCUGGAAAAACUGGGUUUCAACUUGCCAAAGAUUAAAACUAGACCUAUAUGUAUCACCAUGCACUAAACAAAAAUCAAAAUGUAUCAAAGAUCUCAAUAUUAAAACAGAAACAUUAAACCUGCUGGAAGAUAGGUUAGGUAGAACCUUGAAGACACUGGUGUAGGAAAACACCAAUGUGUUUUCCACCAAACCCUCAGUCGCAUGGGAACUAGCACAAACAAUCAACAACUGGUAUCUCAUCUUGCUAAAAAGCUUCUGCACAGCAAGAGAAACCACUAACAGACUCAAGAGACAAUCUACAGUGUGGGAAGAAAAUUUUACCAGCUGUUCCUCAAAAAACUACUACCUAGAAUAUAUAAAGAACUUUAAAAAACUAGACCCCUCAAAUAAAACAGACCCCCCUAAAUAAAAAGACCUAGUUCAAAAAUGG
RNAcentral lists this long non-coding RNA (1007 nucleotides) under Heterocephalus glaber (naked mole-rat). RNAcentral describes it as "lncRNA (ENSHGLG00100048039.1)". Lineage: Eukaryota; Metazoa; Chordata; Mammalia; Rodentia; Bathyergidae. The record is from RNAcentral.